GUAGGUGGCAAGCGUUGUCCGGGAAUUAUUGGGGCGUAAAGCGCGCGCAGGCGGUUCUUUAAGUCUGAUGUGAAGCCCACGGGCUCAACCGUGGAGGGUCAUUGGAAACUGGAGAACUUGAGUACAGAAGAGGAAAGCGGAAUUCCACGUGUAGCGGUGAAAUGCGUAGAGAUGUGGAGGAACACCAGUGGCGAAGGCGGCUUUCUGGUCUGUAACUGACGCUGAGGCGCGAAAGCGUGGGGAGCAAACAGGAUUAGAUACCCUGGUAGUCCACGCCGUAAACGAUGAGUGCUAAGUGUUAGGGGGUUUCCGCCCCUUAGUGCUGCAGCUAACGCAUUAAGCACUCCGCCUGGGGAGUACGGCCGCAAAGGCUGA
Molecule: ribosomal RNA, 375 nt
Filed under: uncultured organism
Description: partial 16S ribosomal RNA
Rfam family: Bacterial small subunit ribosomal RNA
Source: RNAcentral